AGAUAUAUUAUACUCUAGAUUGCGCCUUACGAUCUUAAAAUGGGUGACGGUUGCGACAGAGAUAAAUGAGCCUAUUUGGUCGGUAGUCUCUUUCUAAUUCAAGGGGAGUAUCGACGACGUCACUAUCCUACUCUGUCGUCGAGUAUUUUAGAUGGUUUGACAGUUCGAGCGGAUGGCGACGAGAACUGGUCGUUUGUCUUCGGACGUGGAUAAUCCUGGUUCGAAUCCCAUACCAAUCUUUACUUUUUUAUUUUUAAUUUAAUCAAUAUUGCGUUUAUUAGAUAUUAUUACAUCUCUAAAAUAAAUCUAUGCAAAGAAAUAUAUAACAAAUAAGAAAAACUGUGUAGGUACCUAUAGAUUUUUAAAAAUAUAAAAGCCAAUGUUAUUUUUUUAAUAAGUUAAUGGUACAAUAGUAUAAAGUAAUUGUUAAAAAUAUUCGUACAAAUUACCAAUAAUUAAUAUCAACAUAAUGUACCAUCAUCGAUUUAUUAAUUGAAUCGGUCAUUUCAAAAACAACACGAGACACGAGUCACAUAUUCCUAAUUUUACAGAAGAGCAAAGAAAACUACCUAUAUAGUCGAAAGAUGGAUGAAAUGGAUGACAUCAAAAUUCAGAGUUAUAUUGUAGUUUUGUUCCUAAUGUUUUUACUGGACUGGUGUCGUUUUUGCACACAAUGUUUAUCUUAAAGGAGUCUAU
Molecule: long non-coding RNA, 696 nt
Organism: Diabrotica virgifera virgifera (western corn rootworm)
Lineage: Eukaryota; Metazoa; Arthropoda; Insecta; Coleoptera; Chrysomelidae
Exons: 2
Source: RefSeq, a predicted model, not a curated record